RNAcentral lists this ribosomal RNA (2925 nucleotides) under Escherichia coli. RNAcentral describes it as "23S ribosomal RNA". It matches the Rfam family "Bacterial large subunit ribosomal RNA". Lineage: Bacteria; Pseudomonadati; Pseudomonadota; Gammaproteobacteria; Enterobacterales; Enterobacteriaceae. The record is from RNAcentral.
GGGUUGUGAGGUUAAGCGACUAAGCGUACACGGUGGAUGCCCUGGCAGUCAGAGGCGAUGAAGGACGUGCUAAUCUGCGAUAAGCGUCGGUAAGGUGAUAUGAACCGUUAUAACCGGCGAUUUCCGAAUGGGGAAACCCAGUGUGAUUCGUCACACUAUCAUUAACUGAAUCCAUAGGUUAAUGAGGCGAACCGGGGGAACUGAAACAUCUAAGUACCCCGAGGAAAAGAAAUCAACCGAGAUUCCCCCAGUAGCGGCGAGCGAACGGGGAGCAGCCCAGAGCCUGAAUCAGUGUGUGUGUUAGUGGAAGCGUCUGGAAAGGCGCGCGAUACAGGGUGACAGCCCCGUACACAAAAAUGCACAUACUGUGAGCUCGAUGAGUAGGGCGGGACACGUGGUAUCCUGUCUGAAUAUGGGGGGACCAUCCUCCAAGGCUAAAUACUCCUGACUGACCGAUAGUGAACCAGUACCGUGAGGGAAAGGCGAAAAGAACCCCGGCGAGGGGAGUGAAAAAGAACCUGAAACCGUGUACGUACAAGCAGUGGGAGCACGCUUAGGCGUGUGACUGCGUACCUUUUGUAUAAUGGGUCAGCGACUUAUAUUCUGUAGCAAGGUUAACCGAAUAGGGGAGCCGAAGGGAAACCGAGUCUUAACUGGGCGUUAAGUUGCAGGGUAUAGACCCGAAACCCGGUGAUCUAGCCAUGGGCAGGUUGAAGGUUGGGUAACACUAACUGGAGGACCGAACCGACUAAUGUUGAAAAAUUAGCGGAUGACUUGUGGCUGGGGGUGAAAGGCCAAUCAAACCGGGAGAUAGCUGGUUCUCCCCGAAAGCUAUUUAGGUAGCGCCUCGUGAAUUCAUCUCCGGGGGUAGAGCACUGUUUCGGCAAGGGGGUCAUCCCGACUUACCAACCCGAUGCAAACUGCGAAUACCGGAGAAUGUUAUCACGGGAGACACACGGCGGGUGCUAACGUCCGUCGUGAAGAGGGAAACAACCCAGACCGCCAGCUAAGGUCCCAAAGUCAUGGUUAAGUGGGAAACGAUGUGGGAAGGCCCAGACAGCCAGGAUGUUGGCUUAGAAGCAGCCAUCAUUUAAAGAAAGCGUAAUAGCUCACUGGUCGAGUCGGCCUGCGCGGAAGAUGUAACGGGGCUAAACCAUGCACCGAAGCUGCGGCAGCGACGCUUAUGCGUUGUUGGGUAGGGGAGCGUUCUGUAAGCCUGCGAAGGUGUGCUGUGAGGCAUGCUGGAGGUAUCAGAAGUGCGAAUGCUGACAUAAGUAACGAUAAAGCGGGUGAAAAGCCCGCUCGCCGGAAGACCAAGGGUUCCUGUCCAACGUUAAUCGGGGCAGGGUGAGUCGACCCCUAAGGCGAGGCCGAAAGGCGUAGUCGAUGGGAAACAGGUUAAUAUUCCUGUACUUGGUGUUACUGCGAAGGGGGGACGGAGAAGGCUAUGUUGGCCGGGCGACGGUUGUCCCGGUUUAAGCGUGUAGGCUGGUUUUCCAGGCAAAUCCGGAAAACUAAGGCUGAGGCGUGAUGACGAGGCACUACGGUGCUGAAGCAACAAAUGCCCUGCUUCCAGGAAAAGCCUCUAAGCAUCAGGUAACAUCAAAUCGUACCCCAAACCGACACAGGUGGUCAGGUAGAGAAUACCAAGGCGCUUGAGAGAACUCGGGUGAAGGAACUAGGCAAAAUGGUGCCGUAACUUCGGGAGAAGGCACGCUGAUAUGUAGGUGAAGUCCCUCGCGGAUGGAGCUGAAAUCAGUCGAAGAUACCAGCUGGCUGCAACUGUUUAUUAAAAACACAGCACUGUGCAAACACGAAAGUGGACGUAUACGGUGUGACGCCUGCCCGGUGCCGGAAGGUUAAUUGAUGGGGUCAGCGCAAGCGAAGCUCUUGAUCGAAGCCCCGGUAAACGGCGGCCGUAACUAUAACGGUCCUAAGGUAGCGAAAUUCCUUGUCGGGUAAGUUCCGACCUGCACGAAUGGCGUAAUGAUGGCCAGGCUGUCUCCACCCGAGACUCAGUGAAAUUGAACUCGCUGUGAAGAUGCAGUGUACCCGCGGCAAGACGGAAAGACCCCGUGAACCUUUACUAUAGCUUGACACUGAACAUUGAGCCUUGAUGUGUAGGAUAGGUGGGAGGCUUUGAAGUGUGGACGCCAGUCUGCAUGGAGCCGGCCUUGAAAUACCACCCUUUAAUGUUUGAUGUUCUAACGUUGACCCGUAAUCCGGGUUGCGGACAGUGUCUGGUGGGUAGUUUGACUGGGGCGGUCUCCUCCUAAAGAGUAACGGAGGAGCACGAAGGUUGGCUAAUCCUGGUCGGACAUCAGGAGGUUAGUGCAAUGGCAUAAGCCAGCUUGACUGCGAGCGUGACGGCGCGAGCAGGUGCGAAAGCAGGUCAUAGUGAUCCGGUGGUUCUGAAUGGAAGGGCCAUCGCUCAACGGAUAAAAGGUACUCCGGGGAUAACAGGCUGAUACCGCCCAAGAGUUCAUAUCGACGGCGGUGUUUGGCACCUCGAUGUCGGCUCAUCACAUCCUGGGGCUGAAGUAGGUCCCAAGGGUAUGGCUGUUCGCCAUUUAAAGUGGUACGCGAGCUGGGUUUAGAACGUCGUGAGACAGUUCGGUCCCUAUCUGCCGUGGGCGCUGGAGAACUGAGGGGGGCUGCUCCUAGUACGAGAGGACCGGAGUGGACGCAUCACUGGUGUUCGGGUUGUCAUGCCAAUGGCACUGCCCGGUAGCUAAAUGCGGAAGAGAUAAGUGCUGAAAGCAUCUAAGCACGAAACUUGCCCCGAGAUGAGUUCUCCCUGAGACUUUAAGUCUCCUGAAGGAACGUUGAAGACGACGACGUUGAUAGGCCGGGUGUGUAAGCGCAGCGAUGCGUUGAGCUAACCGGUACUAAUGAACCGUGAGGCUUAACCUUACAACGCCGAAG